Long non-coding RNA from Asterias rubens (European starfish), 863 nucleotides. RefSeq lists it as uncharacterized. NCBI's taxonomy places the organism in Eukaryota, Metazoa, Echinodermata, Asteroidea, Forcipulatida, Asteriidae. The record is from RefSeq and is a predicted model, not a curated record. The transcript is spliced from 3 exons.
CAUAAUGACAAAACUUUCGAGCGGUCGCCAUUUAAUUCCUCGGUUAAGGCGACUAAAAACUUGAACAUAGCUCGUUUUGACAGCUUUCAGAACUGACAGUUUGCUCAUAGUUGACUUAUGGAAACAGGACAAUGUGCUUUUGAUAUAUGAGGAUACUGUUCAGACAGUGAGGGCACCUCUGGACUCUGCAUGAUGGGAAACUGUUGACAAAGAAGCCAAGAUUCAUUACAAGUUCAAGACCAGCAAAGGCAAUGCUUCUUUAACCAGGGACAAGAACUCAUCAGGAGGAUUUGAACCUUUUCAUGGAAGCACCAUUUGUAAAUCUCUUGAGUAAUGUUGGUUCUAAACCAAUGGUUGAAAACACCUGUUUUGAUCAGUACACUACUCACAAAAGAUUUUCACCUUGCACACAAAUCACCUGAAGAAGCUAUCAGAAGGAACAUCAGCCACCAAUGCUAUUGAUGUUUGAAUUCAAUUGUAUGACACAAUAGUAAACUUUAAAAAAAAAGAUUUCCAUCCUCGCAGCAAACAUCAACACUAAACAACUUUUUAGUCUUGGUACUGCUUCAAAAAAGUGCUAGAAAAACACAAGUGACAGUUUUUUGAUAAAUGUUCAUUAGUUUCAAUUUAGAGAAAACUCAUGACGUUCAACAACAACAGUUUUGCCAAACUUAUUUGGACUCACUCAUUGACAAAUCAAAGCAGCAAAACCACAUAAAUCACACAAGGCUACUUGUCAGGAGUUUUAUCUUUGUAACUUUCUACUUUAAUAUUUUGUAUUGAACAUUAUUGUGUUUGCUUAUAAGAAAAAAUGUUAACCACUGAAGCAAAUUGUAAAUAAAACAUUGUUUAUUCAUUGGAAA